This 253-nucleotide ribosomal RNA is filed under the name uncultured bacterium. Its description in RNAcentral is "partial 16S ribosomal RNA". It matches the Rfam family "Bacterial small subunit ribosomal RNA", at positions 524 to 776 of the family's 1533-position model. The record is from RNAcentral.
UAGGAAGGGGGCUAGCGUUGUUCGGAAUCACUGGGCGUAAAGCGCGCGUAGGCGGAAUGGUAAGUCAGAUGUGAAAUCCCGGGGCCUAACCUCGAAACUGCAUUUGAAACUAUCAUUCUAGAGACUCGGAGGGGGUGGCGGAAUUCCAAAUGUAGGGGUGAAAUCCGUAGAUAUUUGGAGGAACACCGGUGGCGAAGGCGGCCACCUGGACGAGUACUGACGCUGAGGCGCGAAAGCGUUGGGAGCAAACAGG